GCUUCACAGCUGAAUUUCAGAAAGGAUAGUCUCAGGUAUUAUUAUCUCACCUGCCUACCUCAGGGUUACUGUAAGGGCAAAAGUGAGGUAACAGAUGGGAAAACACCAUGGCAAAUUAAAAACACUAAACAUGGAUAAUAUUUUAUCCACUUCUAGACAGUAAGCUCCUUGAGGACUGGAACUGUUUUUCUGCAAAUAAACCUUGAAAGAAUGCAGAGCAACUAAAGGAACAGUGAAGGGACUUGUCCAAGGUUACCAGAAGCAAGAGUAUGUGAUGCACUGUGUGGUCUAUGAGCAGAAUCUAUUGAAUGGAGGCUCAAGCUGAGAACGUAUUUUCCUUCUUCCACAAUGAUUCCAAAAAUUGUAUGAAGAUUUCCAAGGUGGAUUAGGAGACCUCCAUUACGUAAAAACUAAUUUUCCUGAGAUGUCUUAGGAGUCCUAACAUAAUCAAGAAGACUAAAUCACAUUGAACUUGAGAAAAGACGGUCUUUGUGUUCCUGAGAGAAGUGUGGAAGAGGCAUGGAGGAAGAGAGAAUUUCAGGCUUGCGAAACAAAGCUGGGGACAUGAUCUGUCAGUCAAGAAGGAAGAUCAGGCCUCAGAACUGUCAUAUCUAAACCUGAUGUCUGUGACCAAAACUUUUUUGGAAAUAAGACUGGUAGCAUGUUUCUGGUGUCUGGACAAAUACUGUGAAGCCUGAGGUUGCCAGGACUGCAACUCAAGAGAGAAAUACCAGAAUGCCUCCACACAUAUUACUAGUUCCUUCCCUCUGGGAUUACCUCCCAUUUACACUAUCUAUCUAUCUAUCUAUCUAUCUAUCUAUCUAUCUAUCUAUCUAUCUAUCUAUCUAGUAUGUUCUGGGUAUUUGUGUAAUGUCUCUUCCCAUUAAAAUGUGAUCUCUCUGA
This is a long non-coding RNA of Monodelphis domestica (gray short-tailed opossum), 903 nucleotides long. RefSeq lists it as uncharacterized. Lineage: Eukaryota; Metazoa; Chordata; Mammalia; Didelphimorphia; Didelphidae. The record is from RefSeq and is a predicted model, not a curated record.